GCGUUUGAAACUGUAUAUCUUGAGAGCAGCAGAGGAAGGCGGAAUUCCUGGUGUAGUGGUGAAAUACGUAGAUAUCAGGAAGAACACCAGUGGCGAAGGCGGUCUUCUGGGCUGCAUCUGACGCUCAUGUACGAAAGCUGGGGUAGCGAACGGGAUUAGAUACCCCGGUAGUCCCAGCUGUAAACGAUGGACACUAGGUGUUGGAGGUUCGAAUCCUUCAGUGCCGGAGUUAACGCAUUAAGUGUCCCGCCUGGGGAAUACGGUCGCAAGACUGAAACUCAAAGGAAUUGACGGGGGCCCGCACAAGCGGUGGAGCAUGUGGUUUAAUUCGAUGCAACGCGAAGAACCUUACCGAGAAUUGACAUCCCGUGACUACCUGUGAGAGCAGG
Molecule: ribosomal RNA, 389 nt
Filed under: uncultured bacterium
Lineage: Bacteria
Description: bacterial SSU rRNA
Rfam family: Bacterial small subunit ribosomal RNA
Source: RNAcentral